RNAcentral lists this ribosomal RNA (548 nucleotides) under uncultured bacterium. Its description in RNAcentral is "bacterial SSU rRNA". It matches the Rfam family "Bacterial small subunit ribosomal RNA", at positions 11 to 560 of the family's 1533-position model. The record is from RNAcentral.
GUUUGAUCAUGGCUCAGGAUGAACGCUAGCGGCAGGCUUAACACAUGCAAGUCGAGGGGUAUAGUUCUUCGGAACUAGAGACCGGCGCACGGGUGCGUAACGCGUAUGCAAUCUACCUUUUACAGAGGGAUAGCCCAGAGAAAUUUGGAUUAAUACCUCAUAGUAUAUAGCCCUGGCAUCAGGAUUAUAUUAAAGUCACAACGGUAAAAGAUGAGCAUGCGUCCCAUUAGCUAGUUGGUAAGGUAACGGCUUACCAAGGCUACGAUGGGUAGGGGUCCUGAGAGGGAGAUCCCCCACACUGGUACUGAGACACGGACCAGACUCCUACGGGAGGCAGCAGUGAGGAAUAUUGGACAAUGGGCGCAAGCCUGAUCCAGCCAUGCCGCGUGCAGGAUGACGGUCCUAUGGAUUGUAAACUGCUUUUAUACGAGAAGAAACACUCCGACGUGUCGGAGCUUGACGGUAUCGUAAGAAUAAGGAUCGGCUAACUCCGUGCCAGCAGCCGCGGUAAUACGGAGGAUCCAAGCGUUAUCCGGAAUCAUUGGGUU